Molecule: ribosomal RNA, 274 nt
Filed under: uncultured bacterium
Lineage: Bacteria
Description: partial 16S ribosomal RNA
Rfam family: Bacterial small subunit ribosomal RNA
Source: RNAcentral
CUACGGAGGUUGCAAACGUUGUUCGGAAUUACUGGGCGUAAAGCACGCGUAGGCGGUUUGUUAAGUCAGAUGUGGAAGGCCACAGCUCAACUGUGGAAGUGCAUUUGAAACUGGCAGACUUGAGUACUGGGGGGGGUGGUGGAAUUCCCGGUGUAGAGGUGAAAUUCGUAGAUAUCGGGAGGAAUACCGGUGGCGAAGGCGACCACCUGGCCAGAUACUGACGCUGAGGUGCGAAAGCGUGGGGAGCAAACAGGAUUAGAAACCCCAGUAGUCC